GCUCCAUUGGCGCAGUCGGUUAGCGCGUGGUACUUAUACAAUGCCAAGGUCACCAGUUCGAGCCUGGUAUGGAGCA
RNAcentral lists this non-coding RNA (76 nucleotides) under Strongyloides ratti. The record is from RNAcentral. Lineage: Eukaryota; Metazoa; Nematoda; Chromadorea; Rhabditida; Strongyloididae.